This 253-nucleotide ribosomal RNA is filed under the name uncultured bacterium. Its description in RNAcentral is "partial 16S ribosomal RNA". It matches the Rfam family "Bacterial small subunit ribosomal RNA", at positions 524 to 776 of the family's 1533-position model. The record is from RNAcentral.
UACAGAGGUCCCGAGCGUUGUUCGGAUUCAUUGGGCGUAAAGGGUGCGUAGGCGGUUCUUUAAGUUUGAUGUGAAAUCCCGGGGCUCAACCCUGGAAUUGCAUUGAAUACUGGGGGACUAGAGUACUGGAGAGGAAACUGGAAUUUACGGUGUAGCAGUGAAAUGCGUAGAGAUCGUAAGGAAGACCAGUGGCGAAGGCGAGUUUCUGGACAGUUACUGACGCUGAGGCACGAAGGCCAGGGGAGCAAACGGG